This 468-nucleotide ribosomal RNA is filed under the name Vibrio splendidus. RNAcentral's name for it is "partial 23S ribosomal RNA". It matches the Rfam family "Bacterial large subunit ribosomal RNA", at positions 1 to 519 of the family's 2925-position model. Lineage: Bacteria; Pseudomonadati; Pseudomonadota; Gammaproteobacteria; Vibrionales; Vibrionaceae. The record is from RNAcentral.
GGUUAAGUGACUAAGCGUACACGGUGGAUGCCUUGGCAGUCAGAGGCGAUGAAAGGCGUAAUAACUUGCGAUAAGCCCAGAUUAGGUAGUAAUAACCUUUUGAGUCUGGGAUUCCUGAAUGGGGAAACCCACUUACAUAAGUAAGUAUCCUGUUGUGAAUACAUAGCAACAGGAGGCAAACCGGGGGAACUGAAACAUCUAAGUACCCCGAGGAAGAGAAAUCAACCGAGAUUCCGAAAGUAGCGGCGAGCGAAAUUGGAUUAGCCCUUAAGCUUUUAAUGAGACAGAUGAAGGCUCUGGAAAGUGCCGCAAUAAAGGGUGAUAGCCCCGUAAUCGACAUCUCAUAAUCAGUGAAAACGAGUAGGGCGGGACACGUGAUAUCCUGUCUGAAUAUGGGGGGACCAUCCUCCAAGGCUAAAUACUACUGACUGACCGAUAGUGAACCAGUACCGUGAGGGAAAGGCGAAA